UGGGGAAUUUUGGACAAUGGGCGAAAGCCUGAUCCAGCAAUGCCGCGUGUGUGAAGAAGGCCUUCGGGUUGUAAAGCACUUUUGUCCGGAAAGAAAUGGCUCUGGUUAAUACCUGGGGUCGAUGACGGUACCGGAAGAAUAAGGACCGGCUAACUACGUGCCAGCAGCCGCGGUAAUACGUAGGGUCCAAGCGUUAAUCGGAAUUACUGGGCGUAAAGCGUGCGCAGGCGGUUGUGCAAGACCGAUGUGAAAUCCCCGAGCUUAACUUGGGAAUUGCAUUGGUGACUGCACGGCUAGAGUGUGUCAGAGGGGGGUAGAAUUCCACGUGUAGCAGUGAAAUGCGUAGAGAUGUGGAGGAAUACCGAUGGCGAAGGCAGCCCCCUGGGAUAACACUGACGCUCAUGCACGAAAGCGUGGGGAGCAAACAGGAUUAGAUACCCUGGUAGUCCACGCCCUAAACGAUGUCAACUAGUUGUUGGGGAUUCAUUUCCUUAGUAACGUAGCUAACGCGUGAAGUUGACCGCCUGGGGAGUACGGUCGCAAGAUUAAAAGCUCAAAUGA
Molecule: ribosomal RNA, 561 nt
Filed under: uncultured bacterium
Lineage: Bacteria
Description: partial 16S ribosomal RNA
Rfam family: Bacterial small subunit ribosomal RNA
Source: RNAcentral